UGUGUUAUUAUGACCUUCAAGGAUGCUGU
RNAcentral lists this non-coding RNA (29 nucleotides) under Mus musculus (house mouse). The record is from RNAcentral. Lineage: Eukaryota; Metazoa; Chordata; Mammalia; Rodentia; Muridae.